UUGUUGCGGUUAAAAAGCUCGUAGUUGGAUUUCUGUGGUGGGCAGCCGGUCCGCACUAUGUGCGAGUAUCUGGUUCGACCACUGCAUCCUUCUGAAGAACGAUGGGGCGCUUUAUUGCGUCGCGCGGUAUUCAGAACUUUUACUUUGAGGAGAUUAGAGUGUUCACGGCAGGCGUUUGCCAUGAAUAUAUUAGCAUGGAAUAAUAAUAUAGGAAGCUUUGCCUAUUUUGUUGGUUUCUAGGCGAAGCUUAAUGAUUAGUGGGGACUGUUGGGGGCACUCGUAUUAUGACGUCAGAAGUGGAAUUC
RNAcentral lists this ribosomal RNA (305 nucleotides) under uncultured marine eukaryote. RNAcentral's name for it is "SSU rRNA". It matches the Rfam family "Eukaryotic small subunit ribosomal RNA", at positions 610 to 919 of the family's 1831-position model. The record is from RNAcentral.